This 484-nucleotide ribosomal RNA is filed under the name uncultured bacterium. RNAcentral's name for it is "bacterial SSU rRNA". It matches the Rfam family "Bacterial small subunit ribosomal RNA", at positions 28 to 511 of the family's 1533-position model. The record is from RNAcentral.
GAUGAACGCUAGCGGCAGGCUUAACACAUGCAAGUCGAGGGGUAGAAGGAGCUUGCUCCUUUGAGACCGGCGCACGGGUGCGUAACGCGUAUGCAAUCUACCUUUUGCAGAGGGAUAGCCCAGAGAAAUUUGGAUUAAUACCUCAUAGUAUGUGAGGAUGGCAUCAUUUUCACAUUAAAGUCACAACGGCAAAAGAUGAGCAUGCGUCCCAUUAGCUAGUUGGUAAGGUAACGGCUUACCAAGGCUACGAUGGGUAGGGUUCUGAGAGGGAGAUCCCCCACACUGGUACUGAGACACGGACCAGACUCCUACGGGAGGCAGCAGUGAGGAAUAUGGACAAUGGGCGCAAGCCUGAACCAGCCAUGCCGCGUGCAGGAUGACGGUCCUAUGGAUUGUAAACUGCUUUUGUACGAGAAGAAACAACAUUACGUGUAAUGUCUUGACGGUAUCGUAAGAAUAAGGGAUCGGACUAACUCCGUGCCAG